CAGUAGCGUAUAUUAAAGUUGUUGCAGUUAAAAUGCUCGUAGUUGAAGUUCGGAUGCAGCAGAGCUUGGAAACGCUGUUAUGGUGCUUCCGUUGCUUUUGCUUGUCCACAGUGCGUUGCAAGUACGUAUGUGCUUGUGCGUGCAUUUUACUUUGAGAAACAUAGGGUGUUCCACGCAUGUUACGGCAUGAAUAUUCCAGCAUGGGAUAAUCCGGUACGACUUCCAAUCUGCCAUUUUGGUUCGUAGGUUGGAAGUAAUGAUUAAUAGGGACUAUCGGGGGCAUUGGUAUUUGACUGUCAGAGGUGAAAUUCUUAGAUUCGUUGAGGACCAACCACUGCGAAAGCAUUUGUCAAGGAUGUCUCCAUUAA
This 368-nucleotide ribosomal RNA is filed under the name uncultured eukaryote. Its description in RNAcentral is "partial 18S ribosomal RNA". It matches the Rfam family "Eukaryotic small subunit ribosomal RNA", at positions 592 to 976 of the family's 1831-position model. The record is from RNAcentral.